RNAcentral lists this ribosomal RNA (433 nucleotides) under uncultured bacterium. RNAcentral's name for it is "partial 16S ribosomal RNA". It matches the Rfam family "Bacterial small subunit ribosomal RNA", at positions 29 to 507 of the family's 1533-position model. The record is from RNAcentral.
AACGAACGCUGGCGGCAUGCCUAACACAUGCAAGUCGAACGAGACCUUCGGGUCUAGUGGCGCACGGGUGCGUAACGCGUGGGAACCUGCCCUUAGGUUCGGAAUAACUCCCCGAAAGGGGUGCUAAUACCGGAUAAUGUCUUCGGACCAAAGAUUUAUCGCCUUUGGAUGGGCCCGCGUUGGAUUAGCUAGUUGGUAGGGUAAAAGCCUACCAAGGCGACGAUCCAUAGCUGGUCUGAGAGGAUGAUCAGCCACACUGGGACUGAGACACGGCCCAGACUCCUACGGGAGGCAGCAGUGGGGAAUAUUGGACAAUGGGCGAAAGCCUGAUCCAGCAAUGCCACGUGAGUGAUGAAGGCCUUAGGGUUGUAAAGCUCUUUUACCCGGGAUGAUAAUGACAGUACCGGGAGAAUAAGCUCCGGCCAACUCCGUG